ACCUCGGUAGCUAAGUUGUAAAAGCAGCAAGGCGUAAAUCUAAAAGUCCUGGGUUCGAAUCCCAGUCGAGUUC
This is a non-coding RNA of Henosepilachna vigintioctopunctata, 73 nucleotides long. The record is from the annotation of a GenBank genome assembly. NCBI's taxonomy places the organism in Eukaryota, Metazoa, Arthropoda, Insecta, Coleoptera, Coccinellidae.